UACGGAGGGGGCUAGCGUUAUUCGGAAUUACUGGGCGUAAAGCGCACGUAGGCGGACUGGAAAGUCAGAGGUGAAAUCCCAGGGCUCAUCCUUGGAACUGCCUUUGAAACUCCCAGUCUUGAGGUCGAGAGAGGUGAGUGGAAUUCCGAGUGUAGAGGUGAAAUUCGUAGAUAUUCGGAGGAACACCAGUGGCGAAGGCGGCUCACUGGCUCGAUACUGACGCUGAGGUGCGAAAGCGUGGGGAGCAAACAGG
Molecule: ribosomal RNA, 253 nt
Filed under: uncultured bacterium
Lineage: Bacteria
Description: partial 16S ribosomal RNA
Rfam family: Bacterial small subunit ribosomal RNA
Source: RNAcentral